Apteryx rowi (Okarito brown kiwi) is the source of this 1747-nucleotide long non-coding RNA. Lineage: Eukaryota; Metazoa; Chordata; Aves; Apterygiformes; Apterygidae. The record is from Ensembl.
CACAGGAGCGCGGCGACAGCUGCUGCCAGCCACGUCCCGUGGACCCGGAGCCGCUCGCCUCCCUCGGGAAAGGCCGGGAUAGAGAAAAAGGGGGUUGUGUGCACGCACGGGUGCAGCUGGAAACGGCAAAGCCCGAGCAUCUUGCAGGAGGUGUUUUGGGCAGAAACUGCAGUGUUUGCUGCACUCACGCCUGAGCGCCCAAUUGCUCCACGCCUGAGCACCCAGCUAAUCCAUGCCUGAGCACCCAGCUGCGGCGUGCACGGCCCAUGCACGGGCACCUGAUUGUCCAUGCUUGAGCACCCAAUUAGCUCGUUCCCAAGCACUGUUUGGGGCAUACGCAGCACGUUUUGGCAGUGCGGGGGGGGGAGGGGGAGGCCAUGCCUGCCUUGUGGCACUGGUGCCCCCAGACAGCAGUUUCGGGGAGCUCGGCGGGAUGACGCCUCCCUCGCCGUGGGAUGUGGCUGGGACGCCCGUGUCCAGCUCCAUCGCCCCCCUCUCCGCGGGUCCGGCUGCCUCCCGCUGGACCGUCCCUGGUGGCCGCUGGGUUUGCAGCCCACUUUCCAUGCGAAUUGGUGCCAGGCACCUGGGUGGGCAGCGCUGGACUGCGACGCUGGGGCUCAGCAGCGGGACCCCGCUUGGCUCYGUCCCUGCCUCAGUUUCCCCACCUGCAAAGCGAGGGCUCAGCGUGGGGCGGCCAGUGCUGAGCGCCUCGCCGGCGUCCCCACGGCCAGCGGGCCGCUUGCCAGGCAGGGAGGCAGCUCCRUGAAAAACAUCACGGACUAAUUUUAGGUGGGCUUGGGCACGCCGCGGCAAUCCCGUGAAUUUGUCACGGCUCGGGAGGGAGCAAGCGGGGCCAUCGGCACUUAUUAAGGCUUCUGCAAGGGACGCUUGGUUAUUACCUGGCUACUAAUCCUCCUUUAAUACGGUUCGGGUAUUUACUGCGCGCGGUAACCAUUGCAUUAAAUCUAAAUGAAAUGUGCGUUUUGGAGGAGCGCCGAUGCCCGGGGCCGGAGACGAGGGCUCCGUUGUGCGAGGCCCCGCGGGGAGGUGGGUUUCGGGGACGUGCAAGGGGGCUGGGUGCCUGGUGGGUGCGCCCGGCCUCUCCGCCCUGCGGGCCGGCUCCCUCCUCGUGCCGGCGCUCUGGGAUUUUGGGGUUGACCUCUCGCGUGCCGCAGCCUGGCAGGAGCACGCAGCGAYGCUGCACGGCGCAGCCGCGACUGAAAGCCCCGGGGCUCGGAGAAGGCGGGAGCCAGRUGGUGACGCCUGGCUUUCCAGGGCCGGAUUUCCACGGCAGGGUCCGGCCCUAGGAGCCAGGUUGGUGGCCGUGGCGGGGUCGCUUUUUGGCUGUGGUGCUUGGCGCUACGGAGCAGGUGGAGAAGACCUGGGCCAUCGCUUCCGUGUGGCUGCCGCGUGUGUUGCAGGGAUUUUGCAAAAGCUCCUGGCGCGGUUGCUCCUGUAACCCCGCUCUGCGCUUCGCUCCCGUUAUCUGGCGAUCUCAAAGCACGCGACGCCCGUUAAUUAACCAAGCCUUGCCGCAAGGAAAGACGGACGAGCGCGGGGCGGCCGCGGGUCCGGGUUUGCGGCUGGAGUGACGCAGCCCCGCUGACCGGCACCGGCGGUGUCCCCCUCCCAGCGUGCGCCCAGGCCCGGAGCUGCGGGGCCGAAAGAUGAGCAAGCCAAGUUAUCCCGACUCUGGAAAGCCUGCAAGGGGUCGAGGUUUCGCCUGCACCCGGACGCAAGCCGUCUC